AAAACGACUCUCGGCAACGGAUAUCUCGGCUCUCGCAUCGAUGAAGAACGUAGCGAAAUGCGAUACUUGGUGWGAAUUGCAGAAUCCCGUGAACCAUCGAGUCUUUGAACGCAAGUUGCGCCCAAAGCCUUCGGGCUGAGGGCACGUCUGCCUGGGUGUCACGC
Molecule: ribosomal RNA, 164 nt
Filed under: Phyllanthus cochinchinensis
Lineage: Eukaryota; Viridiplantae; Streptophyta; Magnoliopsida; Malpighiales; Phyllanthaceae
Description: 5.8S ribosomal RNA
Source: RNAcentral